Molecule: non-coding RNA, 147 nt
Filed under: Homo sapiens (human)
Lineage: Eukaryota; Metazoa; Chordata; Mammalia; Primates; Hominidae
Source: Rfam by way of RNAcentral
GCUGGGCGUGGUGGCGGACGCCUGUAAUCCCAGCUACUCAGGAGGCUGAGGCAGAGAAUUGCUUGAACCCGGGAGGUGGAGGUUGCAGUGAGCUGAGAUUGCACCACUGCACUCCAGCUUGGGUGACAGAGCGAGACUCUGUCUCAA